GGUGGUUUAGUAGUUGAAUACCUGUCUUCUACGCAGGAGACUUGGGUUCGAUUCCCAGAAAAAUCA
RNAcentral lists this transfer RNA (66 nucleotides) under Loxodonta africana (African savanna elephant). It matches the Rfam family "tRNA". Rfam says of the family: Transfer RNA (tRNA) molecules are approximately 80 nucleotides in length. Their secondary structure includes four short double-helical elements and three loops (D, anti-codon, and T loops). Further hydrogen bonds mediate the characteristic L-shaped molecular structure. tRNAs have two regions of fundamental functional importance: the anti-codon, which is responsible for specific mRNA codon recognition, and the 3' end, to which the tRNAs corresponding amino acid is attached (by aminoacyl-tRNA synthetases). tRNAs cope with the degeneracy of the genetic code in two manners: having more than one tRNA (with a specific anti-codon) for a particular amino acid; and 'wobble' base-pairing, i.e. permitting non-standard base-pairing at the 3rd anti-codon position. Lineage: Eukaryota; Metazoa; Chordata; Mammalia; Proboscidea; Elephantidae. The record is from Rfam by way of RNAcentral.